Molecule: long non-coding RNA, 11154 nt
Filed under: Heterocephalus glaber (naked mole-rat)
Lineage: Eukaryota; Metazoa; Chordata; Mammalia; Rodentia; Bathyergidae
Description: lncRNA (ENSHGLG00000041403.1)
Source: RNAcentral
UAAAAACCUUUUUAAAACAUACUGUUAAUUCAGUUUGUAAUAACUUUAAUUUUCUUUUUCUGUAUUUAUGAAGGUAACACUAUAAUCUUACACCCCAGCAAUAAAGGUUAAUAACAUUAUUAACCUUUUAUUCUUUGCAUUCUUUUUUUUCCUGUUCAUUAAUAGAAAUUUAAACUAAAUUUAUUUAUUUAUUUAUUUAGCGGUGCAAGGGAUUAAAUCCAGGGCCUCAUGCAUGCUAGGUAGGUAUUCUACCACUGAUCUACAUAACCAGACCUACAUUUAAAUUUUUAAAUGUAAAUGGCUUCUGUAUAGUUUUAUAUUUUAAUUUUUAAAUUUAAUAAUAAAUUACAACUAUUUCCCAUGUCAUCAAAAUCUCUUCAAAACAUAACUAGUAACAUAAUAAUUAAUAAUAUAUUAAUGCUUUUAUGUAUAUCUUCCCACAAAAGGCUUUGAGCACAUCUGUAAUUAUUCCCUUACAUUUAUUCUUAGAAGUUGAGUCUAUUUUUAAGUCUUGAUUUAAAAAAUAAUUUUGUUGGGUCAAGUUUUAAAACACUUUGGAGCAGUCUGUAAAGAAAAAGCGUAUUUUGGUACCAGGGAAUGAACUCAGGUCCUUGUACUUGCAAGGCAGUCGGCAGCGCCACUGAGCUAAAUCCCCAGUCAGAAAAAGCGUAUUUUGGGGCUGGGGAGUUAGCUCAGUGGUGCCGCUGCCUGCCUCACAAAAGCAUAUUUUAGUAACAUUUUUUAUUUAUAAAGUUGGCUCUGAGAAGUUACAUUUUCUUACUGAAAUCUUUUACUUUCUUAAUACUUUGAUUCCUUAAUGGGACCUUCACCUUCACCAUAUCAUACUUCUUUGUUUUAUAGAGGAAGAAAUUGAAGGCCUAGGGCAUUUGGGAAAUGUUCAAGAUCACACUGCAAGUGUUGGCAAAGCGCUAAAAUAAGAACUCCAUGCUAGCACUUGUCUCUUAUCCCGUGGUACUUUUUAUAUUCAUGGAAAGUGGACUAGAGAUAGGUAUUUCUUCUGGUCAUUUCAGUGAGACAGUCAGGUGUCAAACUCUGCAUGCUCUUCUAAAUCAGGUUUGCAAAGUACUCUUGUCCAGUGGUUUUACUGUAUCAAAGCAAUAAAGAACUUGAAUACUGUACCUGGAAUUUCUAAGCUUGGAUAUCAUUAGGGAAGUUGCUUGAUUAUUGCAGAAUGACUUUGUUUUUGUUGUAAAGACCUAUACACGUACCUGUUUUUUCUUUUCAGUCUGUAACCUGUGUAUAUGGAGUUGAAGUUGCCGUGCAAUGAAACUUACAGUAUUUAUAUAGUUAUUCACUGGGUAUUUGAUCAACUUUUUACUACCAUAUUGAUUUUAGAUAAAAGCAAGAACUCUUGUUCCUUUUUUUUUAUUUCUAAACUUUUAUGCCAUAUCUGUUAUUGUACAGUUAAGAAACAGAGUCUUGAAAAGAGAUAAUAAAACCUUACCUUGAGAUGGAGAAGGCAGGCAUGGCAUUGGCCUGGUCCUUUGAUUCCCUGGGGUUGUUGAUAGGCUUGGAGGACCUCUACGUUGAGCAUUGAUAAUUGGCUUUCUGAGGAAGCAUCUACUCAUUACUCAGUAAUGACAAAAAUCAGCACUUCUGUCAGAUGCCAGUCUCAAGUGAGAGUUCUUCUCAGAGACCAAGUUAGAAGGUGUUUCUUUUUGUUUGUUUUGUUUUUUAUUUUUUGAGUCAGGGUCUUGCUCUGUAAUUUAGGCUGGCCUUGAACUCACUAUGUAGACCAGGCUGGCCUCAAACUCACAGUGAUCCUCCUGCCUCAGCCUCCUGAAUGCUAGUAUUACAGGCGUGAGCUACCGUCCCUAGCUUAGAAGAUGUUUCAGUGGUCUUCUAGUCUCACUUCUCUCACUCCAUUAUAGGCUUCCUUCCAUUCUCCAUCUCCCCAGAGAACUUUAGUUUGGUAACAUUUCUUGGUAGAGAGGUUACUAAUUUUUCAUUGAACAAUAAAGUAUUUCCUUAUUCAUUCAAAACAUGCACCCAUACACACAGUACUUACUGUGGGGCAGGAACUGAGUUAGGCAUUUGUUCGCAGGAUGAAGAUGAUGAAGAUGUGGCCUCCCUUUUUAAAUGAUAAGCUCACUGGUGUAUAACAGGCUUGCUGGUAAUUGUAUGUGUCUUCCUGGCUCUGGAUUCUGAAUCUGAACAUACUUUUGCUGCUAUAUGAUAAAAAGGGCAGGGAAUUGGAAUCAGAAGAUUUAGGUUUGAAUUUUGGCUUUAGCACUUACUUAACUAUAAGCUGGAACAAAUUGUUAACCUAUGAGCCACAGUUUCUUGUGUGCAAAGUGUGGAUAGAAGAGAAGGUAUAGGAUCAUACCUUCCAAUCUGUUUUACACCAUACAAGUGGUAGACUUUUCUUGUUUUUCUUUGCUUAUUAUCCAGAAUUAUGUUUUCUCACCAGUGGGUUUAUGGAGAAAGAAGCUCAGUUACAAUUCUUUCAGUGCUGCUGAAUAUACUGAGAAUGGAAAAAUAAACAGGGUUGUAUUGGUUUUCUGGCUUGUAAAUCAAAAAGUAAUUUUUAGUGCCAAAAACUAUGUUUGUCUUGAGAAGUCAGGAAUGUUUUUGCAUUGUAGAACAGCUUCAGAUUCCGUGGUGGAUCUCUUGGGGAAUCGCAUGGUUUGGGUUUAGGUUCUGUUGUGUAUGGGGCUGGCUUCUCUGCAAUGUAAAUCUUGCUUACUGUCCUCAGUUCCUGCUGGAGUAAAAUACAGGCUGGCUAGGGUAGUUUCUGGUCAGGACUUCUAAGCCAGCCAGGGCAGCAUACCUCUCUUGUAGCCAGGCCUUGGAAAGACCUCCAAGCACAGGUCCCCAGCCCAGUCCUCUCCACCAGGCUGGUCUGGAGUCACCAGGUGGCAGUGAGGUGGCAGAAAAGUGGCAUCAAGGGCUUUGCCUCUACCAGGGCUGAAGGUACAGGUUGUUAAAUUAAUAUGCCUGAUUUUUCAUCACUGUGAGAAAAUCUUCUGGAAUUUCUACCCCACUGAAGACCUCAUCUGUGUAGUUCCCAGAGAACCAGAACCUCCAUGCAGAGGGCUGAAAGCUCUCUACCCUGCAAACAAGUUCAGGAAAGAAGCAGAGUGAACAAAUGCAAACCCGAGUUCACCAUAGCCCUGCUUAAAGCCCUCUGUGACUCCCCACUGGCAAAUUCACUCUUGUUUUUGACCUACAGAGCCCAGCUGAUGGGCUCCUGCCCCCUCUCUAGCCUCAUCCUGAGCCUCACACACUGAAUGCCGCAAGUGUACAUAACCUGGAGACAUGAUGAUCUCUGGAUUUAUCUAUCAAUCUAUCUCAAUUUAUUUAUACAUACAUACUGGGGAUUGAACCCAGGGCCUUCACAUUAAGCAACAUGCCCAUCCCUUUAUUUUUUUAAAUUUUGAGACAGGGAUUCACUCAACUCCUAAGUUAUUCAGGCUGGGUGCGAACUUGUGAUCCUCCUGCCUCAGCCUCUUAGACUACUGGGAUUACAGAUAUGUGUGACCAUUUGCAGUUACCUUGCCAGUCCUCUGCUGAGAAAUUCCUGCCUAGCAGAAUUAACAAAAGCCCCUUGAUGACAGUGGUAGUCUAACAAAGUAGGUAACUGUUAGAGGAAGUAUUUUGUGUCUGGAACAGAUGUUCUCAGAAUUUUGUGUUUGGGCUGUUCCACUACAAAAACAAAAACAGAAGGACAGGAUGAAGGGUUCACAAUGUCAAAGUCAUGUGAACUCAGAGGAUAGAGAGAUUCUUGUUGGCUGCUCUGGGACAGUUUGCCCCUCCCCCAACCGUUUCACUCUGCCCUAAAGACUUGAAGGCCAACGGAGAAUGGAUGGAUAUCCUGGGGACCAGAGGGAGUGAUGAUGACUGAUAGAGCUGGUGGCUUCUUGCUGAAUUGAGACUACUGAAGUGGCCUCCCUGUGGGACACCUGAAGAAGCUGUCCUGUCAUUACAGGUCAAAGUUCUGGAUUUCAUGGCACAUUUCUGAGUGUUGGGUUAUGAGAUCACUGCAUGAGCAUGUGCGACAAACAUGAUCUCUGUGAUCAAUUUGACACCUGUUUUCAUCUAGCUCAUGACAUCUUAAAACAUAGAUUGCUAAUCUGGAAAGCAACUAGUACUGAGAUAACAAAGCUGUCAUGUAGUGACUGUUCACUGCAUACCAAGCACUAUUCUUUUUUGUUUGGGGUUUUUUUUGGGGGGGGAGAUGAUUAGGGUCUCGCCACAUAGUUCAGGCUGGUCUUGAACUCACUAUAUAGCCCAGGCUGGUCUUGAACUUGCAGUGAUCCUCCUGCCUCAGCCUCCCAAAUGCUGGGGUUACAUGCAUGUACCAUAAUGCCUGGCUCCCAAGCACUGUUCUCUAAGUACUUGUGUUAAGGCUGAUUUAAUCCUUCUGAUAAACCAGUGGGCAUGGUGUUUGCUUAGAGGUUCACCUUUAAAGAUAAGCAAACUGAGGUGAAUGAGAGGUUAAACAGUUUGCCCACAGUUUUAUAAGUAGUGCUGGAAGCACUUGGUCCAAUACAGGUAGCCUGGUUCCUGAGUCCGUGUUCUUAAUUAUUAUUGUAUAGGAAAAUGUUCUAUUCUCACACCAUUCUUAGUACUUCCGUUCUGCUACCAGAGGUGUGUGUAUGAGUCUUCCACAUAAAACAGUUUUCUAGUUCUCUAUGGAUACCACGGGGCGGGGGGGUGUCUAACAAAUCAGUUCUCUACACUAACGAAUUAAAGCAGAGCCCAAAGCUCAAUUCCACAGAUUACCCUCACUUUUGACACCAAUUUCAAGUAGUAGGUCCCUAGUUUAUCCAGAAUUUCUGUCCACUUUGCCUACAAAUUAGAGGUUCUUGUGACCUCCUCCUUGGGUUCGAUAGCUCACAGAACUCAGAAAACAGCUUUCUUGUUAUGUUACCAGUUGAUCAUUAAGGAUGAACUACUUAAUACAAAGAAUAGGCAUGUAGAAGAUACUUAGGGGAUACUUGGGAGGGUCCUGAGCCCAGCAAUUCCUGUCCCUAUAGAGUUAGGGGUGCCACCCUGCUGGCACAUGAAGCAUUCUUGUUCAACAACUCGGAAGCUCCCUGCACCCAUCUUUUUGGAUUUUUUUAUGAGGACUUCAUUUAUAAACAUAAUUGCUUACAUUAUUGGCCAUUAGUUUAUUCAAUUUCAGCUCCUCUCACUUCUCUCCUGGGAGGGGGGCCUGAAAAUUCCAGCCCUCUAAUCAUAUGGUUGGUUCCCUUGGCAACUAUUCCCCCACCCCUUAUGGUUAUCAAAGGGCUUUUCAUAAACCACUUCAUUAACUUAAACUCAGGUGCCACUGAAAGGGUUUUUUCUGGUAGUGCUAGGGAUCAAACCCAGGGCCUUGCCCAUUCUAGGCAAGUGCUCUACCGCUGAACCACAUCCCCAGCCCCAUUUUACUUUUUUGAGGUUAGUAAGAUAUCACAAUUAUUUUUUGUUUUCUGACAGACUUCCUGCUUACAGUCAUCUCUUAAUAUCCUUGGGGAAUUGGUUCUAGGAUCUCCUCAGAUAGCAAAAUCUUUUGCUGUUCAAUUCCCUUAUACAAAGUGGUAUAAUAUUUGCAUAUAAUCAUUGUCUAUUCUAUAUAUUUUAAAGUGUCUCUAGAUUACUGAUAAUUUGUUCAUUGUGCCUAAUACAAUGUAAAUGCUAUGUAAACAGCUAUUAUGCAUAUAGUUUGGGAAGAAUGAUAAGUCUAGGGCCGGAGAUUUAGCUCAGUGGUUCCGCCGCCUGGUUCACAAGAGCAAGGACCGGAGUUUGAUCCCCAGCACCAAAAAAAAAAGUCUGCACAUGUUCAGUGCACAUACAAUUGUUUUCUGAAUAUUUUCUAUUCAUACUUUAGUUGAAUUUGUGAAUGUAGGCGUGGGGGAGGUCCAGCUGUAUAUUGGUCAGUAUUCUCUUAACUGCAGAUGACAUCAAAACGCAAUCUGUGCUAGCUGAAGCCAAAGAGGAAUUUGUGGGCCACAGUAGCCUGGCUUAUAUAACCAGACCAAGGGGCGGAUAUGAGUAUGCUGGCCUCUGAGAGAGAUGAAACCAGACUUUCUCCGUCUUUCUCCCUUACUGAGAUCAUCUUGGUUUCUUGGGCUGUUCUUUGCUGUUUAACAGGAAACAGUACGCACUGACCUCAUUUCGUAGGUUAUCAAUGGAGAGCCUCUUCCCUUGAUUCCAACUUGAAAAGUCCAAGGGAGGAGCCAAGGCUUAGCACAUGUGCCCAUCUAGGUGGCCACUGGAUGCCUCCGUGAUAGGCAACAACUUUCAGACCUGGGUAGUUUGAAUGGGGAGGAACAGCGCUCAGAGGAGGGGAGGACACUGGCCAGAGAACAAAGCUACCCUUCCACUGUGGUUCAGCUCAGGCCCCUAAAAGUUUUUCAGUUUAAGGAUUAGUGCUGUACUGGGUAUGGUGGUCCUUGCCUGUAAUGCCAGCACUCAGGAGGCUGAGGUAGAAGGACCAAGGGUUUGAGCUACAGAGCGAUACCUUAACCUCAAAAAACAAAACAAAAAAUCCAAAAAACAAAAAGGUGAGGAUGGCAGUACCUACUUGUAAUCUCAGCACUCUGGAAGGCUUAGGCAGGAGGAUCAAAAGUUCUGGCCCUAUUAGUCACUUAGCAAGAUUCUGUCUCAAAAUAGAAAAAAAAAAAAAAAAGCCCUGAGGGUAUAGUUCUGUUUCCUGUCAUUGCUAAUUUCUGUGAUGUGUUUUGAAGGCCUUGGGUUCAAUCCUCAAGAACCACCACGAAAAAAGAAAAAAAAAAUAGCACUUUUCUGUGUAAUGAUAGUUAUUAUUCAUUGCAUUGACUGAGGCAGUCUCUAUUCUGAGUUAUCAAAGAAACUCUCCAUUUACUGUUUGCUAAGAAAAGUGAUUAUAACAACAGGAAAAUGUCAACAAGGUUGACAUAGGAAGGACUUUCCAGUUGACCUCUCUUACUUUUUGUUGUCUGACUAAAAGAUAUUUAUUUACUCUAUAUUGGUUAUUACUUCUUAUUUUACCCAGUGGUUUUGUAAAAUUAUUUGUUCUCAAUAAUGUGUUUGCAUUCCAGUGGUCAGCUCAUUACAUCCUGUUUUCUAAUAGCUAACUAUAUCUUGUGUUAGUCUUCCAAUCUCAUGGGUCAUAAUUUCUUUACUUGUUUGGGUGGGCUGACUUUUGUAAUAGACUGAAAGGCGUAGAAAAGAUCAAAUCUUGAUAAAAGUUUCUUAGUUGCAUAAAAUUUAAAAUAAGUGUCCUUGAUCAAUAGAGCCUCCUCUCCAAAUGGUGAUUCAGGGGCCAUCUUUGACCCAUGAGACCCAAGGCAACCAUGCUGGCCUGCGAGGACAAGCUCACAGAAACGGAAAGAGCCUGGAGGGUCACAGGUAAGAAGAUUUUCAGGGCCAAGUCUGGAAGUGGUACAUCCAUGACAGCUUGUUUACAUUCUGUCAGUCAUGAGGCCACACCUAACUUCACCAAAGGCUGAGAAAUGUGACCUGGCUGAGUGUCCAGGAAGAGAGGAACUGAAUUUGAACAGUUAUCCAGUCUCUGCCACACGCUUUGGUGACAUUUGUUAUUUUCUCCCUAUUUCCCUUCCCUUGCAUAAUAGCUGUUUGGUUGGUAUUGAGUCCACUCUCAGCUCCAUGGUGGGCCCCACACUCUCCUUGCAGCAGUUGUUAGUUCAGUAAUAGUUGUAUAACCCAGGCUUAAUCCAGGCAGAGGGCAUAGAAUGCUUCUGGUCUCAGCUACUAGUCCAGGGGCAGGCAUGUGAUGUAAAGUGUCCCAAUCACUGUGACUGGGGGAAAAUACCAACCACUACCUCCUCGCAGGGAGAGCAGAGUCAGCUCGUGGAGGACAAACUUGGAGGAUUCCUGAGUCACACAGAGCUGGAGUCCUGUUGAAAUUCCUUGAAGCUGACAAGAUCUGAUGCUGUGCAAGCUAUUAAAUCCACUUCAUCACAUAAUAAUCAGAAGUUAAUUAAAAAAAAAAGAUAAUUCUGCUGGGGAUUUAGCUCAGUGGUUCCACCGCCUGCCUUGCAAGCGAAAGGACCCGAGUUCGAUCCCCGGUACCAAAAAAAAAGAAGUAAAUUUUCUUACAACCAAAAGCAUUCUGAUUGAUAAACUUAUAAAAUGGAAAGGAAAUGAAGAGAGAAAAGAUAGAAGCUGGAUCUCCAAGUUCUGUUUCCUGCCAUUGCUAAUUUUUCUGUGAUGUGUUUUGAAUACCCAAGCAUUACAUCAGAGCACCUCCAACUUGAGCAAAAUGCCACAUGGCAUUCCUGAGUGAACAUUUUGAAAGAGUUGUGUGGCAUCCAGUGAGGCAUUUGGAAGUCACCUGGUAAGUAUGUAGGGACUGUUGGACAAGAAUCUCAUUUGCACAAUCAGAAGCCCUUGGCUCAGCACACAGACACCUCAUAUACCUGUGGUUGCAAAUGUAAGCCAUUGAAGUCCCCAGCCUGACUCACCCUCUCAGAAUAUGGAGAGUAGCAUAGGGGUGACAACCUCAGCAACCUCAUCUCGAAAAGGGUUUGAAGUAAUUUAAAGAAUACUUAGGGUAGGAUAAAAAAUGGAGAAGAGAAUUGGGCCAAAGAAACACAAGAGUGACUUAAUAAUCAGCUGAGCUGGAGUCAAAGAGGUAUAUGGAAGUGCAUGCCACCCAGCUGGGCAUUGUUGGCCCAGGGGCCUGGGCUUCACAUUGGGCUCUGAGCUUCCCACAGCCUCACUGAACAGGAAAACUAGCUGUGACUCAGGAGGAGUUCAAAUUUCUGAGCUGAAAGAAACUGCUCUCCUAGAUCCCUUUUGAGGGCCAAGACUCUCAAGAAUGUUCCCCUAAUAAGUGUAGUGUGCAUAUGAGGACAGGAGUGACUGGGGUCAUAGAGAAAGCAUGUAGGCAGCACUUGGUGUCCAGCUGUGGGACAUUGUGUUUUGCACACCAUUCUGUAAGGUCAUGUGAUCUUUUUUUUUUUAUUACCAAUGCUGGUCCUCCCUUGUGUGGGGGGCCUAAUGUGGACAAUUGCAUUGAUCUGGUUUUGGAGUUUUGCAUUUUGCAGAAUGUUUACUAGCUAGAGGCAAAGCAGAUGAAAGAGCAAGCGUAGGGGGUGGGAUGACAGAAGUAAUAAGCCUUAGAGGGGAUGAGGGCCCUAGGAGAACAGGUGAGAUAUGGGCCUGGAGGCAUCAGUCACCACAGUGGGCUGAAGUUUACUUGCUUAGCACAGUGCCCAAUAGGUGGAUUGAGUCAGUGUGUGGUAGUGAAGACUGCAGAAGCAGCCAACCACGAAAGUACAGGAACAGCUAUAGCUGAUCUAUGCUGUCAGAAGUCAGCACAGUGGUACUGGGAACGGGUACUGGGCACAUCUAGUGUGCUGCUCACAUUGCAUCUUGAGCUGAUACUGGCUGUACAGGUGUAUUCAGUUUGGGACGAUGUGUCUGUUAGUACACUUGUAUGUGCUUUUGUCUGAGUGUGUUCAGUGAAAUGUUUGAAAGAAAGUAUGUACUUCAGUGCCAGGCCACUUGUUUUCACACCCCAGUUCUGCCACUUUAUAGCAAUGGGACAUUGGGCAAAUUAUGUAACCUCGUUGUGCCUCAGAUUUCCAUUCAGUCAAACAAGAAUAAUAAUGCUUAGCUGGGUGCAGUGGUGCACUCUAUAAUCCCAGCUUCUCAAGUUUGAGGCCAGCCUGGACAACUUAGCAAGACCCUGUCUCAAAAUAAAAAAUAAUAUAUGAAUAUAAGUAUCAUGCAUUAACCAAUUGUAGCACUGGAGCUCCUAUAUAUAAAUAAAAAGGGCUGGGGAAGUAACUCAGUGGUAGAACAUUUGCCUGGCAUGUGCAAACCCCUGAGUUUAAUCCCCAGUACCUAAAUAAAUAAAGAAAAGGCUAGGAUGCAAUUCAGCAGCGCCACACCUGCCUAGCAAGCACAAGGUCCUGAGUUUGGUCUCUGGUACCAGGGAAAAAAAAGAACAAAAGAAAAUAACAUGUAUCAAAGAAGUACCUGAGGAUUGAAUGAGUCAGUACUUGCCAAGUACAUGAGUGUCUCUAGUAAAUAGUAAACAUUCCCUGAGAAUUACCUGUUACUUGUUACUUCUGUUAAUUAUUAUUAUUAUAAAUGAGAAUUGUAUGAGGGAAAACUGAAGAAUUGCUUGUGGACAUUCUACAAAAUGAUAUUCUGAGUGUGGCCAUGCAGUUGUGUCUGGAGUGGAAUGGGAUUGGAUUGCAUGUCUUAGAGUUCAAGCAGGGGAACUGGGAGGGAGUGGUGUUGCCAUAUUGGCCUUAGUGUUGUCCACGUGAUGGCAGGGGAGGACUUGGGGUGGUGAAGACUGAACUUGAGGGACUGAGAUUCUUGUUGUUCUUUGCUUUUUGAGACAGGGUCUCACUAUGUAGUUCAGGCUGGCCUUGAACUCAUUGUGUAGCCCAGGGUGGCAGGGAACUCAGGGUGAUCUUCCUACCUCAGCUUCCAGAGUGCUGGGAUUACAGGCAUGCACCCCACCCCAGGCACUGAGAUUCUUUUUUCAAAAUUUAUAUAUUAAUUGAUACAUUUUAGGUGUACAGUACAUUUACACUUAUCAUUGCGUGUUUGUACCUGAACAUGAUGUAUCUUAGUUCUUAUUUUUCCCCCAUUACCUAUGUGCCUUUCACCCCCACCACCCUUCCCUAUUUACAUAGACUUUGUUUCCAUUUUUUUUUCUUUCUCAUAAUUUUUCCUUUCCCUUCUUCCCUUUCCCCUUCUCCUCCUGCCACCCCUACACCUUUGGACCUUUUCCUACGUCAAAUUAUCAAUUAUUCAUUUUAAUAAUUUUCAUCCUUAUUUACACUUUCAGUUUCUCACACUAGAGAAACUAUUCGGUAUUUACACAUGUGUGUCCUAUUUAUUUUACUUAAGAGUAUGGCCUCAAUAUGCAUCCAUUUAGCUAUAAAUGACUCUAGUUUCUCGUUCUUUAUGGCUGAGUAGUACUCCAUUUUAUAAAAAACCCACAUCUUCUUUAUCAGUUUUCCAGUUGAUGGGCACUUGGGCUGUUUCCAAACCUUAGCUAUUACAAACUGUGCCGCUAUAAACAUAGGUGCACAUAUAUCGCUGUGGUAUGAUUCUUUUAAUUCUUUGGGGAAGAUACCCAGUAGGGGAAUAGCUGGGUCAAAUGGGACCUCUAGUCCUAGUUCUUUAAGGUAUUUCCAUACGGAUUUCCACAGUGGUUGCACCAGUCUGCACUCCCAC